RNAcentral lists this ribosomal RNA (253 nucleotides) under uncultured bacterium. RNAcentral describes it as "partial 16S ribosomal RNA". It matches the Rfam family "Bacterial small subunit ribosomal RNA", at positions 524 to 776 of the family's 1533-position model. The record is from RNAcentral.
UACGGAGGGCGCAAGCGUUGCUCGGAAUCACUGGGCGUAAAGCGCGUGUAGGCGGCUUGGUAAGUCGGGUGUGAAAGCCCGGAGCUCAACUCCGGAACUGCACUCGAAACUGCCUCGCUCGAGUCCCGGAGAGGGUGGUGGAAUUCCCGGUGUAGAGGUGAAAUUCGUAGAUAUCUGGAGGAACACCAGUGGCGAAGGCGGCCACCUGGACGGUGGCUGACGCUGAGACGCGAAAGCGUGGGGAGCAAACAGG